AGAGUUUGAUCCUGGCUCAGGAUGAACGCUGGCGGCGUGCCUAAUACAUGCAAGUCGAACGCUUUGUCUUUAAUUGAUCUGACGAGCUUGCUCUGAUGUGAUUUUAUCUGACAAAGAGUGGCGAACGGGUGAGUAACACGUGGGUAACCUACCUCUUAGCAGGGGAUAACAUUUGGAAACAAGUGCUAAUACCGUAUAAUACCAACAACCGCAUGGUUGUUGGUUGAAAGAUGGUUCUGCUAGCACUAAGAGAUGGACCCGCGGUGCAUUAGCUAGUUGGUAAGGUAACGGCUUACCAAGGCGAUGAUGCAUAGCCGAGUUGAGAGACUGAUCGGCCACAAUGGGACUGAGACACGGCCCAUACUCCUACGGGAGGCAGCAGUAGGGAAUCUUCCACAAUGGGCGCAAGCCUGAUGGAGCAACGCCGCGUGUGUGAUGAAGGGUUUCGGCUCGUAAAACACUGUUAUAAGAGAAGAACGGCACUGAGAGUAACUGUUCAGUGUGUGACGGUAUCUUACCAGAAAGGAACGGCUAAAUACGUGCCAGCAGCCGCGGUAAUACGUAUGUUCCAAGCGUUAUCCGGAUUUAUUGGGCGUAAAGCGAGCGCAGACGGUUAUUUAAGUCUGAAGUGAAAGCCCUCAGCUCAACUGAGGAAUGGCUUUGGAAACUGGAUGACUUGAGUGCAGUAGAGGAAAGUGGAACUCCAUGUGUAGCGGUGAAAUGCGUAGAUAUAUGGAAGAACACCAGUGGCGAAGGCGGCUUUCUGGACUGUAACUGACGUUGAGGCUCGAAAGUGUGGGUAGCAAACAGGAUUAGAUACCCUGGUAGUCCACACCGUAAACGAUGAGUGCUAGAUGUUCGAGGGUUUCCGCCCUUGAGUGUCGCAGCUAACGCAUUAAGCACUCCGCCUGGGGAGUA
This 918-nucleotide ribosomal RNA is filed under the name uncultured bacterium. RNAcentral describes it as "bacterial SSU rRNA". It matches the Rfam family "Bacterial small subunit ribosomal RNA", at positions 8 to 882 of the family's 1533-position model. The record is from RNAcentral.